RNAcentral lists this transfer RNA (74 nucleotides) under Camelus ferus (Wild Bactrian camel). It matches the Rfam family "tRNA". Rfam says of the family: Transfer RNA (tRNA) molecules are approximately 80 nucleotides in length. The record is from Rfam by way of RNAcentral. Lineage: Eukaryota; Metazoa; Chordata; Mammalia; Artiodactyla; Camelidae.
GAGGGUAUAGCUCAGUGGUAGGGUGCAUGCUUAGCAUGUACAAGCUGUCCUGGGUUAAAUUCCUAGUACUUCCU